RNAcentral lists this ribosomal RNA (456 nucleotides) under uncultured bacterium. RNAcentral's name for it is "bacterial SSU rRNA". It matches the Rfam family "Bacterial small subunit ribosomal RNA", at positions 340 to 785 of the family's 1533-position model. The record is from RNAcentral.
UACGGGAGGCAGCAGGGGGAAUAUUGCACAAUGGGCGAAAGCCUGAUGCAGCUAUGCCGCGUGUAUGAAGAAGGCCUUAGGGUUGUAAAGUACUUUCAUCGGGGAGGAAAAAACAAAACUAAUAAUUUUAUUUCUUGACGUUACCCGAAAAAGAAGCACCGGCUAACUCCGUGCCAGCAGCCGCGGUAAUACGGAGGGUGCUAGCGUUAAUCAGAAUUACUGGGCGUAAAGAGCACGUAGGUGGUUUUUUUAAAGUCAGAUGUGAAAUCCCUGGGCUUAACCUAGGAACUGCAUUUUGAAACUGAAAUACUAGAGUAUCGUAGAGGGAGGUAGAAUUCUAGGUGUAGCGGUGAAAUGCGUAGAUAUCUGGAGGAAUACCUGUGGCGAAAGCGGCCUCCUAAACGAAUACUGACACUGAGGGUGCGAAAGCGUGGGGAGCAAACAGGGAUUAGAUAC